GUCCAUCCAAUUUGAUUGAGCAACAAGAAAAAUCAGUAACAGUUUCAAGCAAAGUUCCUACAAUUCAUAUCUGCUAUCAAAGAAUAAAUCAAGGAACAAGCUCUCCUGGCUGAUAUUUUUUUAUGACAAAGGCACAUUACAAGUUUUCUGUUUUGUCCUCAUUGAAACUGCUUCAGGACUCAAGAUGCAGACCUAACAAAGAGGGUACCUAAAUUAUGUGGUCCAAAAGAUUAGUCUCUUCUUUUUUUCACUAUUAUUGUCUCUAUUUAGAAAUAGUGCAACAUAUAAUGGAACCCCUGAGAGGGUCCCAAGUUUGGAAGUUCAAACUUUAUGAAUCGUGUGAAUGCUUACCGUUACCAGCGACUUCAUUUACAGAUAAGCAGGAGAAACAUCAGCCAAAGAGCCGGCAAACUAGAAGUUUCCAUCUGAAAAUGGAUACAAAAACAGUUGAGAGUAAAAAAUCUGCACAGUAAUUUUCUGCUGUUCAACAUCACAGAACUAAAAAUAAAUUCUUCUAUAAAAGAACAUGAGAUUGUUAGUAGUGUAAAAAGGCCGAGAAGCAUCUCAUCGUUGCGUUGUUCAAAUGAUGAAAUGGAGAAUGAGGCUAUUGGCCUGAACAAUCCGACAUGAACAACUAUUGAGGACCAGAUAAACUAUUCAAUCAAAAAAAUUGAACAUCACAAAUGAUGUCAGUUAACAUAG
RNAcentral lists this long non-coding RNA (702 nucleotides) under Olea europaea subsp. europaea. The record is from RNAcentral. Lineage: Eukaryota; Viridiplantae; Streptophyta; Magnoliopsida; Lamiales; Oleaceae.